RNAcentral lists this long non-coding RNA (482 nucleotides) under Monodelphis domestica (gray short-tailed opossum). RNAcentral describes it as "lncRNA (ENSMODG00000047116.1)". Lineage: Eukaryota; Metazoa; Chordata; Mammalia; Didelphimorphia; Didelphidae. The record is from RNAcentral.
CAAAAGGAAUUUGGAAACCUCAUUGUCAAACCCACAAAUAUCUUCCUCUCAGAAGAUAAGUUGUGGUCCGUUCUAUAGAAACUGUGUCAAGGAAAUUCCUUCCUUCCCCCUCCUGAGUGACUUGACCUGUCCAUCAAACGUUCCUGACAUAACACAGUUGCUCCAGGUUUCCAUCCCUCUACAUGCUGUACGUCAAUAAAAGUCAAGGCUUUGGGCUUGUGAGAGGAGAACCAAGAAGAGAAGGAAGAAGGAAGAAGUCGGGAUCAGAGCAGGCAGAAAAUUUUCUGAUGCUGAGAGGCAACUGGGUGGAACAUUGGGUAGAGAUCAGAUCUGGAGUCAAGAAGACCUGCGUUCAAAUCCAGCUUCAGGCACCAGCUGUGGAAUUCUGAAAAUGUUCCACCCUAGAGAAUGGAAGCAUAUAGAAGAGAGAUUAUGAAGUUCAUCUUGUCCCAGUAAGUAAGAACUGGCUUAGACUAGAAGUG